RNAcentral lists this ribosomal RNA (440 nucleotides) under uncultured bacterium. Its description in RNAcentral is "partial 16S ribosomal RNA". It matches the Rfam family "Bacterial small subunit ribosomal RNA", at positions 338 to 795 of the family's 1533-position model. The record is from RNAcentral.
CCUACGGGAGGCUGCAGUAGGGAAUAUUGCUCAAUGGGGGAAACCCUGAAGCAGCAACGCCGCGUGGAGGAUGAAGGUUUUCGGAUUGUAAACUCCUUUUGUUAGAGAAGAUAAUGACGGUAUCUAACGAAUAAGCACCGGCUAACUCCGUGCCAGCAGCCGCGGUAAUACGGAGGGUGCAAGCGUUACUCGGAAUCACUGGGCGGAAAGAGCGCGUAGGCGGGAUAGCAAGUCAGAUGUGAAAUCCUAUGGCUUAACCAUAGAACUGCAUUUGAAACUGUUAUUCUAGAGUAUGGGAGAGGUAGGUGGAAUUCUUGGUGGAGGGGUAAAAUCCGUAGAGAUCAAGAGGAAUACUCAUUGCGAAGGCGACCUGCUAGAACAUAACUGACGCUGAUGCGCGAAAGCGUGGGGAGCAAACAGGAUUAGAUACCCCUGUAGUC